Molecule: non-coding RNA, 4292 nt
Organism: Prunus mume (Japanese apricot)
Lineage: Eukaryota; Viridiplantae; Streptophyta; Magnoliopsida; Rosales; Rosaceae
Source: RefSeq, a predicted model, not a curated record
AUGGAGAUAAGUUGUGAUCUUGAGAAAGCUGGUCAUAGUUUCAAAAACUCUUCCUUUUGGACUGACAAUGGCGCAGGAGUUUUCUCAUCAUCUUCACGUGGAGAGGUUGACGAGGAAGCUCUCAAGUGGGCUGCUCUUCAGAGACUUCCAACUUUCCAGCGCUUGAAGAAAGGUUUGAUCUCUACAUCCGAAGGCGGUGCCGACGAAGUUGAUGUGAGCCUUCUUCAAGUACAAGAAAGGAAGAAUUUGAUUCAGAGGUUGGUUGGAGUAGCUGAAGAGGAUCAUGAGAACUUCUUGUUGAGGCUCAAGAACCGCAUUGAUAGAGUUGGGAUAAGCUUUCCUACAAUAGAGGUCAGAUUUGAGCAUUUAAACAUUUCAGCUGAAGCUUAUGUUGGAAGCAGGGCUUUGCCUACAGUCUUGAACUAUUGUGUUAACUUAGUGGAGGGUUUCUUGAAUUGCAUCCAUAUUCUUCCUACUAAGAAGAAACACUUGUCUAUCCUUAAAGAUGUCAGUGGGAUCAUCAACCCUUCCAGAAUGACACUGCUUUUGGGUCCUCCAAGUUCCGGGAAGACCACACUCUUGUUGGCUUUGGCUGGAAAGCUUGGUCAGGAUCUUAAGUCUUCAGGAAGUGUGACUUACAAUGGUCAUGACAUGCAUGAGUUUGUGCCUCAAAGGAGGGCUGCCUAUAUCAGUCAACAUGAUGUUCAUAUUGGAGAACUGACAGUCAAAGAAACCCUGGCCUUCUCUGCAAGAUGCCAAGGGGUUGGACCCCGUUAUGAAAUGAUAGCAGAGCUAACUAGAAGAGAAAAAGAAGCGAACAUUAAGCCGGAUCCAGAUGUAGACGUCUACAUGAAGGCAAUUUCAACAGAAGGCCAGAAGGAAACAUUGGUGACAGAUUAUAUUCUUAAGAUUUUGGGAUUAGAUACUUGUGCAGAUACCUUGGUGGGGGAUGAAUUAUUAAGGGGUAUCUCUGGAGGGCAAAAGAAAAGAGUCACAACAGGUGAGAUGCUUGUUGGACCUGCUAGAGCUCUAUUCAUGGAUGAAAUAUCAACUGGAUUGGAUAGUUCAACAACUUAUCAGAUUGUAAAUUCAGUCAAGAACUAUGUUCACAUCCUUAAUGGGACUGCAGUCAUCUCACUGCUGCAGCCAGCACCUGAAACUUAUGAACUUUUUGAUGACAUUAUUCUCCUUUCUGAUGGCCAAAUUGCAUACCAAGGCCCUCCUGAACAAGUUCUUGAUUUUUUUGAAUCCAUGGGCUUUCAAUGUCCUGAGAGGAAAGGCGUGGCUGAUUUCCUGCAAGAAGUGACGUCAAGGAAAGAUCAGGAGCAGUAUUGGAAAAACAGAGAUGAGCCUUACAGGUUCAUCACAGUUCAGGAAUUUGUUGACGCUUUUCAGUCUUUCCCAGUGGGUGGAAAAAUUAGAGAAGAACUUGCAGCUCCAUUAGACAAGACCAAGAGCCACCCAGCUGCCUUGACGACCAAAAAAUAUGGUGUUAGAAAAAUGGAACUAUUGAAAGCUUGCUUUUCAAGGGAACUCUUGCUUAUGAAGAGGAAUUCAUUUGUCUACAUUUUCAAGAUCAUUCAACUUGCAAUAAUGGCACUGAUUACAAUGACCGUAUUCCUACGGACUGAGAUGCACCGUGAUUCAGUAGCUGAUGGAGGAAUAUUUGCUGGUGCUUUGUUCUUCUCCUCUGUUACUGUUAUGUUCAAUGGAAUGUCAGAGCUUUCUAUGACUGUUGCCAAGCUUCCUGUUUUCUAUAAGCAAAGAGACCUCCUCUUCUUUCCGGUGUGGGCAUAUGCCCUUCCCACAUCUAUACUCAAGAUCCCUGUCACAUUUUUAGAAGUUUCUGUUUGGGUAUUUAUCACUUACUAUGUCAUUGGAUUUGAUCCAAGUGUUGAAAGGCUGUUUAGACAAUACCUUCUAUUCUUACUCAUUAAUCAGAUGGCUUCUGCAUUAAACCGAUUCCUUGCUGGAGUGGGUAGAAGCUUGACAGUUGCUAGCACAUUUGGGUCAUUUGCACUGCUCAUGAUUUUUUCUUUGAGUGGCUUUGUCCUGUCAAGAGAGGAUAUAAAGGUUUGGUGGAUAUGGGGCUACUGGAUAUCACCUUUGAUGUAUGGGAUGAAUGCAAUACUAGUUAAUGAGUUCCUCGGAAAGAGUUGGAGACAUGUUCUUCCAAACUCAACAGAACCACUAGGAGUUGCUGUUUUGAGAUCUCGUGGAUUCUUUACACAGUCAUAUUGGUAUUGGAUCGGCGUAGGAGCUUUGAUUGGAUACAUAUUCAUGUUCAACAUUUGUUUCAGUUUGUCUCUCACUUAUCUAAACCCAUUAGGGAAGACACAGGCUGUUAAAUCAGAAGAAUCUCAAAGCAAUGAACAUGAUGAGAAGAAUAGUGGAGAUGGAAGUACCUCUUCCAAACCCUCAUCUGUCAGGACAGAAGCUACUGACACUAAUCAUAAGAAAAGAGGAAUGGUUUUCUUCCCUUUGAACCACAUUCCAUCACAUUUGAUGAAAUCACGUACUCCGUGGACAUGCCACAGGCAAUGAAGAACCAAGGUGUUCUUGAGGAUAAAUUGGUGCUUCUCAAGUGUGUGAGUGGUGCUUUCAGGCCAGGUGUUUUGACAGCUCUGAUGGGAGUGAGUGGUGCUGGUAAAACUACUCUAAUGGAUGUACUGGCUGGUAGAAAAACUGGAGGAUAUAUUGAGGGAAAUAUUUCAGUUUCUGGGUACCCAAAGAAGCAAGAAUCCUUUGCCCGAAUUUCUGGAUACUGUGAGCAGAAUGACAUCCACUCUCCUUAUGUUACCGUCUAUGAAUCCUUGAUGUACUCAGCAUGGCUGCGUUUAUCCACCGAAAUAAAUUCUGGAACCAGGAAGAUGUUUGUUGAGGAAGUGAUGAGACUGGUGGAGCUGAAUCCAUUAAGGCAAGCACUAGUAGGGUUACCUGGUGAAAGUGGUCUCUCAACCGAGCAGCGGAAGAGGCUGACCAUUGCCGUUGAACUAGUGGCAAACCCUUCUGUAAUAUUCAUGGAUGAACCAACUUCAGGUUUAGAUGCAAGAGCUGCUGCUAUUGUAAUGAGAGCUGUUAGGAACACUGUGGACACUGGAAGAACAAUAGUGUGCACUAUUCAUCAGCCAAGCAUCGACAUAUUUGAAGCUUUUGAUGAGUUGUUUCUAUUGAAGAAAGGAGGACAAGAGAUAUAUGUAGGGCCACUAGGUCGUCAUUCUUGCCAUUUGAUCAAGUACUUUGAGGGAAUUGAGGGAGUCAGCAAAAUCAAGAAUGGCUACAAUCCAGCUACUUGGAUGUUGGAAGUUACGACUUCAGCAAAAGAAACAGAAUUGGGAAUUGAUUUUGCUGAUGUAUAUAAAAGCUCUGAAGUUUAUAGGAGAAACAAGUCACUUAUUCAAGAAUUGAGUAACCCUGCGCCUGGUUCAAAGGACCUCUAUUUCCCUACUCAUUACCCUCAGUCAUUUUUCACUCAGUGCAUGGCUUGCUUAUGGAAACAACAUUGGUCAUAUUGGCGCAAUCCGCCGUACAAUGCCAUAAGAUUGAUAUACACAACCAUCGUAGCCUUGAUGUUUGGGACAAUGUUCUGGAACCUUGGUUCUAAAGUGACAAAGCAACAGGAUCUCUUCAAUGCAAUUGGUUCUAUGUAUGCUUCUGUUCUUUUUCUUGGUACUAAAAAUGCCAUGACAGUGCAGCCGAUAGUGGCUAUUGAAAGAACCGUCUUUUAUAGAGAACAAGCUGCUGGAAUGUAUUCUGCCUUGGCAUAUGCCUUUGCACAGCUCACAAUUGAGAUCCCUUAUGUUUUUGCGCAAGCUCUGAUCUAUGGUGUCAUAGUUUAUGCUAUGAUUGGAUUUGAGUGGACUGUAGCUAAAUUCUUUUGGUACCUAUUCUUCAUGUUUUUCACAUGUGUAUACUUCACCUUCUAUGGCAUGAUGGGGGUGGCCUUGACGCCGAACCAACACGUUGCUGGUAUAAGUUCUAAUGCAUUUUAUGCAUUAUGGAACCUCUUUUCAGGGUUCAUGAUCCCACGAACCAGGAUUCCUAUAUGGUGGAGAUGGUACUAUUGGGCAUCCCCAAUGGCUUGGACCUUGUAUGGAUUGACGGUAUCACAGUUUGGGGAUAUACAAGAUAAGCUCAACACAGGUGAGACAGUAGAAGAGUUUUUGAAGAAUUACUUUGGUUUCAAACAAGAAUUUAUAGGAGUGGUUGCAGCUGCAGUUGUUGGAUUUUCCCUCCUCUUUGCGUUUAUCUAUGCCUUGGCCAUCAAGAUGUUGAAUUUUCAGAGGCGAUAA